UGGGGAAUAUUGGACAAUGGGGGAAACCCUGAUCCAGCAAUGCCGCGUGUGCGAUGAAGGCCUGAGGGUUGUAAAGCACUUUCGUUGGGGAGGAAAUGCUCAAAGCUAAUACCUUUGAGAGCUGACGUUACCUAAAGAAGAAGCACCGGCAAACCCUGUGCCAGCAGCCGCGGUAAUACAGAGGGUGCAAGCGUUAAUCGGAGUUACUGGGCGUAAAGGGCGCGUAGGCUGAUGUUUAAGUUAAUUGUGAAAUCCCUGGGCUUAACCUAGGAAUUGCAGUUAAUACUGGACAUCUAGAGUAUGGUAAGAGGAAAGUGGAAUUCUGGUGUAGUGGUUAAAUACGUAGAUAUCGAGAAGAACACCGGUGGCGAAGGCGACUUUCUGGACCAAUACUGACGC
RNAcentral lists this ribosomal RNA (399 nucleotides) under uncultured bacterium. RNAcentral describes it as "bacterial SSU rRNA". It matches the Rfam family "Bacterial small subunit ribosomal RNA", at positions 355 to 746 of the family's 1533-position model. The record is from RNAcentral.